This 469-nucleotide ribosomal RNA is filed under the name Catonella morbi. Its description in RNAcentral is "bacterial SSU rRNA". It matches the Rfam family "Bacterial small subunit ribosomal RNA", at positions 28 to 497 of the family's 1533-position model. Lineage: Bacteria; Bacillati; Bacillota; Clostridia; Lachnospirales; Lachnospiraceae. The record is from RNAcentral.
GAUGAACGCUGGCGGCGUGCCUAACACAUGCAAGUCGAACGGAGAUUACGGACGGAAGUUUUCGGAUGGAAGACUGUAAUUCUUAGUGGCGGACGGGUGAGUAACGCGUGGGCAACCUGCCCUAUACAGGGGGAUAGCAGCUGGAAACGGCUGGUAAGACCGCAUAAGUCGGUUAAAUCGCAUGAUUUGAUCGGGAAAUGAGUAAUCAGGUAUAGGAUGGGCCCGCGUCCGAUUAGCCAGUUGGCAGGGUAAAAGCCUACCAAAGCGACGAUCGGUAGCCGGACUGAGAGGUCGGACGGCCACAUUGGGACUGAGACACGGCCCAAACUCCUACGGGAGGCAGCAGUGGGGGAUAUUGCACAAUGGAGGAAACUCUGAUGCAGCGACGCCGCGUGAGUGAAGAAGUAUUUCGGUAUGUAAAGCUCUAUCAGCAGGGAAGAUGAUGACGUACCUGACUAAGAGCCCCGCA